This 1272-nucleotide ribosomal RNA is filed under the name Vibrio parahaemolyticus. RNAcentral's name for it is "partial 23S ribosomal RNA". It matches the Rfam family "Bacterial large subunit ribosomal RNA", at positions 197 to 1525 of the family's 2925-position model. The record is from RNAcentral. Lineage: Bacteria; Pseudomonadati; Pseudomonadota; Gammaproteobacteria; Vibrionales; Vibrionaceae.
AACAUCUAAGUACCCCGAGGAAAAGAAAUCAACCGAGAUUCCGAAAGUAGCGGCGAGCGAAAUUGGACUAGCCCUUAAGCUUUACACGCGUUAGACGAACGGUCUGGAAAGUCCGACGAUACAGGGUGAUAGUCCCGUAGUUGACGACGUGUGUUCAGUGAAAUCGAGUAGGGCGGGACACGUGAUAUCCUGUCUGAAUAUGGGGGGACCAUCCUCCAAGGCUAAAUACUACUGACUGACCGAUAGUGAACCAGUACCGUGAGGGAAAGGCGAAAAGAACCCCUGUGAGGGGAGUGAAAUAGAACCUGAAACCGUGUACGUACAAGCAGUAGGAGCAGGCUUUGUCCUGUGACUGCGUACCUUUUGUAUAAUGGGUCAGCGACUUAUAUUCAGUGGCAAGGUUAACCAUCUAGGGGAGCCGUAGGGAAACCGAGUCUUAACUGGGCGUUCAGUCUCUGGAUAUAGACCCGAAACCAGGUGAUCUAGCCAUGGGCAGGUUGAAGGUUGAGUAACAUCAACUGGAGGACCGAACCGACUAAUGUUGAAAAAUUAGCGGAUGACUUGUGGCUAGGGGUGAAAGGCCAAUCAAACCUGGAGAUAGCUGGUUCUCCCCGAAAGCUAUUUAGGUAGCGCCUCGGACGAAUACUACUGGGGGUAGAGCACUGUUAAGGCUAGGGGGUCAUCCCGACUUACCAACCCUUUGCAAACUCCGAAUACCAGUAAGUACUAUCCGGGAGACACACGGCGGGUGCUAACGUCCGUCGUGGAGAGGGAAACAACCCAGACCGCCAGCUAAGGUCCCAAAUUACUACUAAGUGGGAAACGAUGUGGGAAGGCUCAGACAGCCAGGAUGUUGGCUUAGAAGCAGCCAUCAUUUAAAGAAAGCGUAAUAGCUCACUGGUCGAGUCGGCCUGCGCGGAAGAUGUAACGGGGCUAAGUAGUAAACCGAAGCUGCGGCAAUAUACUUUAGUAUAUUGGGUAGGGGAGCGUUCUGUAAGCGGUUGAAGGUGUGUGGUAACGCAUGCUGGACGUAUCAGAAGUGCGAAUGCUGACAUGAGUAACGAUAAAGGGGGUGAAAAACCUCCUCGCCGGAAGACCAAGGGUUCCUGUCCAACGUUAAUCGGGGCAGGGUAAGUCGACCCCUAAGGCGAGGCCGAAAGGCGUAGUCGAUGGGAAACGGGUUAAUAUUCCCGUACUUCUUACAAUUGCGAUGGGGGGACGGAGAAGGCUAGGUGGGCCUGGCGACGGUUGUCCAGGUUCAAGUGCGUAGGC